This 258-nucleotide ribosomal RNA is filed under the name uncultured bacterium. RNAcentral describes it as "partial 16S ribosomal RNA". It matches the Rfam family "Bacterial small subunit ribosomal RNA", at positions 96 to 354 of the family's 1533-position model. The record is from RNAcentral.
UGGCGGACGGGUGAGUAACGCGUGGGUAACCUGCCUUACACAGGGGGAUAACACCUGGAAACAGGUGCUAAUACCGCAUAAGCGCACAGGGCCGCAUGGCCCGGUGUGAAAAACUCCGGUGGUGUAAGAUGGACCCGCGUCUGAUUAGCUGGUUGGCAGGGUAACGGCCUACCAAGGCGACGAUCAGUAGCCGGCCUGAGAGGGUGGACGGCCACAUUGGGACUGAGACACGGCCCAGACUCCUACGGAAGGCAGCAG